RNAcentral lists this long non-coding RNA (122 nucleotides) under Catharus ustulatus (Swainson's thrush). RNAcentral's name for it is "lncRNA (ENSCUSG00005001713.1)". The record is from RNAcentral. Lineage: Eukaryota; Metazoa; Chordata; Aves; Passeriformes; Turdidae.
GGCGGCCCCGCGGAGCCGGGCGGAGCGGCGGCGGCUCCAGGCGGGAGCGCUGCCCCGGGGAUCGGGGGAUACUCCAGGUUCUAUGUAAUCUCAUUGGGCAACAGCAGUGGAACUAACUCGUC